CCCACCUCCCACCCUCCGCAUCCAAUCCGGGCGCUUCGUGAGGCCACGAGGGUGAGGGCAUCGGCUCUGGCGGCGCACGAAGCCGAGGGAGAUCGAGGCCGACGGCGGCGGCGGCAGGAGGUGACGGCGCACACGGCCAGCACCGCGGCGGCAACGGCGACGACGCCCACCUCCCCUCCGACGGUCACGCUCCUCACCUCCUUCUCGCCGCUCAAGAACACAUCUGACAAGAGGUUUCAAGGUCUAAGUUAUACCUUAUCCAUGUCACCUAUAUAGUGGGCUAAAUAAUGGAGCUUGUUUCGGCCGAGGAGUUCAAUGUUACUAUGUUUGCAGUUUUGGAUCAGUGACUUCUCUAGCAUAUUAUUGUCACCUCGUUGAGAUCUAGUUCUAUGUUGUCAGAACGUGCUCUUUCUAUCUUUAUAUCUUAUAUGGUAGUCAAAGGUUUUCAUUCUGACAACUAAUGCUUGAAUCAUUUGUUGACUAGUGCUUUGAUAGUGCUUGCUCCAGGCUCAAAUAGUGCUUGCUCCAACAUGUGCUUGUGUGUAUUAUAUAUUUUGUGAUCGCUCCAGAAUGUGCUUGCUCCA
Molecule: long non-coding RNA, 584 nt
Organism: Panicum virgatum (switchgrass)
Lineage: Eukaryota; Viridiplantae; Streptophyta; Magnoliopsida; Poales; Poaceae
Exons: 2
Source: RefSeq, a predicted model, not a curated record